This 28-nucleotide non-coding RNA is filed under the name Homo sapiens (human). The record is from RNAcentral. Lineage: Eukaryota; Metazoa; Chordata; Mammalia; Primates; Hominidae.
UCACCGAGAAGGACUUGGAACUGGAGCA